Camelina sativa (false flax) is the source of this 351-nucleotide long non-coding RNA. RefSeq lists it as uncharacterized. Lineage: Eukaryota; Viridiplantae; Streptophyta; Magnoliopsida; Brassicales; Brassicaceae. The record is from RefSeq and is a predicted model, not a curated record.
GGUUAAGGAAAAGAAAUGAAAGAAAUAAUUUCUAUCUAAAGAGCCGUCGAGCUUACACUUUCAUGUUUCAUCUCCUAAAUUAAAUCUGAUAACCAGAAGAAUUAUCCAAGUAGAGUGUGAAAUGAGAGUUCUUAUUCACAUGGUUGUGCUUCUCAAACAAUGGCAUUCAAGGCGUUUAUAAAGGAAAGAAAAGAGUCUCUUUCUAAUUUUUAGUAGAGAGCACCAGGUUUUCUAUCCCCUCUUGUUAACUUCAUCAUCUACAAACGGGCAUUUGUAUUUCGUGGAACUUCAUUUUGUGUAAACGGUCUAAUGUCAUUUCCAUAUAUAGUAGAAUGAUCUUGGCAAGACUCA